UCGGACGUGGUGCGCGGUGCACGCCCACUCAUCAAGAAGAGAGACUGGAUGUUUAAGCGGGAAAUCCUGGGUUCAACUCCCAGCGUCCGAA
Molecule: non-coding RNA, 91 nt
Organism: Mycena crocata
Lineage: Eukaryota; Fungi; Basidiomycota; Agaricomycetes; Agaricales; Mycenaceae
Source: the annotation of a GenBank genome assembly